UUGUCUUCAAAGAUUAAGCCAUGCAUGUUCUCAGUACAAGCCGAAUUAANGGUGAAACCGCGAAAGGCUCAUUAAAUCAGUUAUGGUUCCUUAGAUCGUACCCACAUUUACUUGGAUAACUGUGGUAAUUCUAGAGCUAAUACAUGCAAACAGAGCUCCAACCGGAAACGGAAGGAGCGCUUUUAUUAGAUCAAAACCAAUCGGUGGCGGUUUCUCCGUCAUCGUACAACUUGGUGACUCUGAAUAACUUUAAGCUGAUCGCACGGUCUCGCACCGGCGACGCAUCUUUCAAAUGUCUGCCUUAUCAACUGUCGAUGGUAGGUUCUGCGCCUACCAUGGUUGUAACGGGUAACGGGGAAUCAGGGUUCGAUUCCGGAGAGGGAGCCUGAGAAACGGCUACCACAUCCAAGGAAGGCAGCAGGCGCGCAAAUUACCCACUCCCGGCACGGGGAGGUAGUGACGAAAAAUAACGAUACGGGACUCAUCCGAGGCCCCGUAAUCGGAAUGAGUACACUCUAAACCCUUUAACGAGGAUCAAUUGGAGGGCAAGUCUGGUGCCAGCAGCCGCGGUAAUUCCAGCUCCAAUAGCGUAUAUUAAAGUUGUUGCGGUUAAAAAGCUCGUAGUCGAAUCUGUGUCCCGCGCCGCCGGUUCAUCGUUCGCGGUGUUAACUGGCGUGCCGCGGGACGUCCUGCCGGUGGGCUUAGCUCGAAAGGGCGGCCCAACUCAAUCCCGCCGCGGUGCUCUUCAUUGAGUGUCGAGGUGGGCCGGCACGUUUACUUUGAACAAAUUAGAGUGCUUAAAGCAGGCUAAAACUUCGCCUGAAUACUGUGUGCAUGGAAUAAUGGAAUAGGACCUCGGUUCUAUUUUGNUUGGUUUUCGGAACCCCGAGGUAAUGAUUAAUAGGAACGGAUGGGGCAUUCGUAUUGCGACGUUAGAGGUGAAAUUCUUGGAUC
This 954-nucleotide ribosomal RNA is filed under the name Achthosus sp. COL649. RNAcentral's name for it is "SSU rRNA". It matches the Rfam family "Eukaryotic small subunit ribosomal RNA", at positions 31 to 926 of the family's 1831-position model. The record is from RNAcentral. Lineage: Eukaryota; Metazoa; Arthropoda; Insecta; Coleoptera; Tenebrionidae.